RNAcentral lists this long non-coding RNA (582 nucleotides) under Rattus norvegicus (Norway rat). RNAcentral's name for it is "long non-coding RNA NONRATT024070". Lineage: Eukaryota; Metazoa; Chordata; Mammalia; Rodentia; Muridae. The record is from RNAcentral.
UACAGACACAAGUCCAAGUGUGUGUUACGACUGGCAGAGGGGCAAGCAGUGAGCAUGAAGAGAGAAGCCAGCCUAGGCUUGAUGGGAAACUGGUUAUAAAGAAGCUGGAAAGCUUCGGAUAUGCUUGUGAACCCACGACCCUGAGUAUAGAACAUGACCCCAACCCUCCGACCCAUGUUGCUGUCGUGCUUUCCCACUUCAAACUGGAAGAUGAUCCAAAGGCCAUAAAGACAUUUGCAUCUCUGUCUGUCUGUCUGUCUGUCUGUCUAUGCCUAUAUAGAUAUAUAAUAUCUAUAAUCACUCCAGGGAUAUUUUUUUUCCUGUUGAGUAACAUGAGAAACUUUAAGAAGUCUGGGAAUGUUGGGAAUGUACAGUUGGUAGAGAGCCUCUCCAGAAUAGAGCAAAGUCCUGGGUUUUGAUGUGCAGCGCUAUGGAAAACAAGCAUGGUGGCACACGCCUGAAUCCUAGCAUCUGGGAGGUACGAGCAGAAGGAUCAGAAGAUCAAAGCCAUCCUCAGGUACAUGAUGGGUUCAAAGCCAGCCUGAGCUACAGAAGACCUUGUCUCAAAAAAAAAAAAAAAAA